This is a non-coding RNA of Paramuricea clavata, 310 nucleotides long. The record is from the annotation of a GenBank genome assembly. Lineage: Eukaryota; Metazoa; Cnidaria; Anthozoa; Malacalcyonacea; Plexauridae.
AUCGUGUAGAUGAACUUCCGCUAAAUUUUCCCGUCUGUGGUGCAUCAGAAAUUUGGCAAUCAAAACAGGGGAAACAUAUUUUUAGUUGUAUGGUUCAACUUCCCAGACGUUUUAUGUAUACUCAUCCGCCGUUAUGGAUAUCAUACAAUGUAAUCUUCUUGUCAAGACCAAGCGAAAGGUAAAUGUUGUUAUUAUUUGCCAACAAAAGACCACAAACGAGAGAAUAUAUUCACUAAUCUGUGCUCUAACCUUGAUUUUAUUCAGUGGAAGAAUCGCUGGGUCGUUUUACGGCGUGUAAACCCAGGAUCUG